RNAcentral lists this ribosomal RNA (303 nucleotides) under uncultured bacterium. RNAcentral describes it as "partial 16S ribosomal RNA". It matches the Rfam family "Bacterial small subunit ribosomal RNA", at positions 507 to 807 of the family's 1533-position model. The record is from RNAcentral.
AGCAGCCGCCACGGUAAUACGGAGGUUGCAAGCGUUAUCCGGAUUUAUUGGGUUUAAAGGGUCCGUAGGCGGACUUAUAAGUCAGUGGUGAAAGCCUGUCGCUUAACGAUAGAACUGCCAUUGAUACUGUAAGUCUUGAGUAUAUUUGAGGUAGCUGGAAUAAGUAGUGUAGCGGUGAAAUGCAUAGAUAUUACUUAGAACACCAAUUGCGAAGGCAGGUUACCAAGAUAUAACUGACGCUGAGGGACGAAAGCGUGGGUAGCGAACAGGAUUAGAUACCCGAGUAGUACCUGUCUCUUAUAC